ACUGCACAUCUCUCUGGAAGGGCUUGAUAAGCCAUAAACGUCAGCAGUAUUCUCUAUCUCAGCCCUGUGUGUGUGGCAACUGGAGAGAUGUGCUGCAAAGAUCCACCCAAAAUGGAGGACCAUGACCAAGUGACAACCGACAGAGGCAGGGAGCAUGCUUGCCCCAUUCGUGGAAAAAAAACAUGUUUCUUUUAUUUUUUUUAAACAUUUAUUCAUUAACUAAUCUCU
This is a non-coding RNA of Pelobates cultripes (western spadefoot toad), 228 nucleotides long. NCBI's taxonomy places the organism in Eukaryota, Metazoa, Chordata, Amphibia, Anura, Pelobatidae. The record is from the annotation of a GenBank genome assembly.